GUUGCUGAAUUACUUUUGGACAGGUAAGGUUGUUUUGUUGCCUGGGUGAUUGUGUUAUCUUUUAAAAUAGUGGAAGCAAUUCAAGCUAUUUGUCAUAUUAGCCAGAUGUUAACGUUAGCGAUACAUGUCGCAAAGUAUUUCUGUUGUUGGAUUAGCCCGAUGCUACUGUUGAUUCUCUUAGUGCGAGCUAGUUUAGCAGCUACAGUGUGUACAGUAUACAUGUGUGCGUGUUUGAGCGUGUGUGUUGUGUUUGCUUUCAGCAGGGCGGUCAACAGCUGUAAUGUAGGAUAUUUGUGAUUCUUUUUAGCUAUAACUGUGCUCCGUCGACUUCAACGCCGUGGAAGGACUCACUUGUGAGACUACCUAACCCCGCUGUGUCAACUGUUGCUCCCGAGUCACUGUCUGAGAGAGAUGAUAAUUUCUCCGUUGCUGGAGUCCAGGAGUUAGACAUUAGUGGUCCCAUAGAGACAGCUCUUCAGCAAUUGGAUUCAAGUAUGCCGUCCCAGGACCUAAACGUUGAGGUUGGAGCUGAUGAAUUUAAUGACAUUCAGAACUCCAUUAUUGACUGGGAUGAUAGCACCUGGUACCCUGAUAAAGAGUCAGAGUCUUUGUCAUCAUCAGAAGAAGAUGUAACCAGGGAGGUCCACUCUGACGAUGACAGUGAAGAAUCAACCUAUAAGCCUCGUAUUUGUGUGAGGACUGGUGGUGCUCUCAACAGUAAAAUUUGCUUGGAUGCUCUUCCUACAAUCAGCAUGGAAGACGCUGUGCAUGAUGUUUCAGCCAAUAUCCCAGAUCCUACCGACACAGACCUUCACACAUUUCCAGAGUCAUGUAAAGUUAUGGUGGAGGAUGAUAUUAUUGGUCAUCCUGCUUCUAUCACAUAUCAUGACAGCCUGAAGCAGCUUGCUGAGUAUCUCUGUCUACCUGUAAACACGUGUCCUGGUAAAGACUCAAAGACCAAGCAAAAGUGCAUGGAAACUGGCCCGUUUGAAAUCAAUAUAAAGUCCAGGGGAACAGCUGCUGUAAUUGAAUGGAAAUGUCCUUUUGGUCAUACAGUGUGGAAAUGGUGUUCCCAGCCCACUUUGAAAUAUGGGAUGCUAGUUGGAGACUUCAUGCUGUCUACUAAUAUACUACUAUCAGGCAACAACUAUGCCAAGAUAUCCCUGUUAUUCAAGUUCAUGAAACUGGGGAUGGUGGAAAGAUCAACAUUCUUCAGGGUUCAGGACUCCUACUGUGUGGACACUAUAAAGGAGUUCUGGAGUGAGAAGAGGGCCGCAAUCAUCACCCA
This 1288-nucleotide long non-coding RNA is filed under the name Gouania willdenowi (blunt-snouted clingfish). RNAcentral describes it as "lncRNA (ENSGWIG00000017912.1)". Lineage: Eukaryota; Metazoa; Chordata; Actinopteri; Blenniiformes; Gobiesocidae. The record is from RNAcentral.